CGAAGGGGGCUAGCGUUGCUCGGAAUUACUGGGCGUAAAGGGCGCGGUAGGCGGGUCGUCAAGUUGGGGGUGAAAGCCCAGGGCUCAACCCUGGAACUGCCUUCAAAACUGGCGACCUAGAGUAUGGUAGAGGUGUGUGGAACUCCGAGUGUAGAGGUGAAAUUCGUAGAUAUUCGGAAGAACACCAGUGGCGAAGGCGACACACUGGGCCAUUACUGACGCUGAGGCGCGAAAGCGUGGGGAGCAAACAGGAUUAGAUACCCUGGUAGUCCACGCUGUAAACGAUGAGAGCUAGUUGUCGGCAUGCAUGCAUGUCGGUGACGCAGCUAACGCAUUAAGCUCUCCGCCUGGGGAGUACGGUCGCAAGAUUA
This 371-nucleotide ribosomal RNA is filed under the name uncultured organism. RNAcentral describes it as "bacterial SSU rRNA". It matches the Rfam family "Bacterial small subunit ribosomal RNA", at positions 526 to 896 of the family's 1533-position model. The record is from RNAcentral.